CACCAAUCAAGCACUGCUUGGCAUUAGGCCUCCUUUCGCCCCCGGUCCGCGAGGACGCACGGGGCGGGCCCCAAACACCUCGGCGGAGUCCCCAUAGGCUCUCGGCGUAGCAGAAUCUCUCAAACGUCAAGAACCCUCGGGCCCCCUGCCGCGAAAACUGUCACCGUACAUUUUCUCAAA
This 180-nucleotide unclassified non-coding RNA is filed under the name uncultured Ascomycota. Its description in RNAcentral is "sequence contains ITS2". The record is from RNAcentral. Lineage: Eukaryota; Fungi; Ascomycota.